GGUGGGGUACCUAAGUGGCCAAAGGGAGCCGGCUGUAAACCGGUUGCGAAAGCUUCGGAGGUUCGAAUCCUUCCCCCACCA
This 81-nucleotide transfer RNA is filed under the name Actinomycetota bacterium. Its description in RNAcentral is "tRNA-Tyr". It matches the Rfam family "tRNA". Rfam says of the family: Transfer RNA (tRNA) molecules are approximately 80 nucleotides in length. Their secondary structure includes four short double-helical elements and three loops (D, anti-codon, and T loops). Lineage: Bacteria; Bacillati; Actinomycetota. The record is from RNAcentral.